This 503-nucleotide ribosomal RNA is filed under the name uncultured bacterium. RNAcentral describes it as "partial 16S ribosomal RNA". It matches the Rfam family "Bacterial small subunit ribosomal RNA", at positions 30 to 523 of the family's 1533-position model. The record is from RNAcentral.
AUUGAACGCUGGCGGCAGGCUUAACACAUGCAAGUCGAGCGGGGUGAUGGUGCUUGCACUAUCACUUAGCGGCGGACGGGUGAGUAAUGCUUAGGAAUCUGCCUAUUAGUGGGGGACAACAUCUCGAAAGGGAUGCUAAUACCGCAUACGUCCUACGGGAGAAAGCAGGGGAUCACUUGUGACCUUGCGCUAAUAGAUGAGCCUAAGUCGGAUUAGCUAGUUAGUGGGGUAAAGGCCUACCAAGGCGACGAUCUGUAGCGGGUCUGAGAGGAUGAUCCGCCACACUGGAACUGAGACACGGCCCAGACUCCGACGGGAGGCAGCAGUGGGGAAUAUUGGACAAUGGGGGGAACCCUGAUCCAGCCAUGCCGCGUGUGUGAAGAAGGCCUUAUGGUUGUAAAGCACUUUAAGCGAGGAGGAGGCUCCUUUGGUUAAUACCCAAGAUGAGUGGACGUUACUCGCAGAAUAAGCACCGGCUAACUCUGUGCCAGCAGCCGCGGUAA